Molecule: long non-coding RNA, 203 nt
Filed under: Elaeis guineensis (African oil palm)
Lineage: Eukaryota; Viridiplantae; Streptophyta; Magnoliopsida; Arecales; Arecaceae
Description: long non-coding RNA (EGUI_LNC001802)
Source: RNAcentral
AGUCAGCUAUACGCCGAGUAGGAAGUCAGUCACAGGCCAAGCAUUGUUGAGUGUAAGCGGCCGUGGGUGGCAUGCUAACUAUAGUCGUCUUGGUGCCGACCAGGAGUGAGCUAUCUUUAGUCGGCCGAAUACCAUUGAUAGAGGCCAUUGUUGAACCAACCAGACAGGGCUCAUUGAUUUGAGUCGGGAGAAGCCACAGUGGC